GGUCCAGUCUGGCUCAGCUGGUAGAGCAAGGCAUUAACACUAGCCAGGGUUAGGGGUUCAAUUCCUACCGGGGCUGCCCA
Molecule: non-coding RNA, 80 nt
Organism: Merluccius polli (Benguela hake)
Lineage: Eukaryota; Metazoa; Chordata; Actinopteri; Gadiformes; Merlucciidae
Source: the annotation of a GenBank genome assembly